GACGAACGCUGGCGGCGUGCCUAAUACAUGCAAGUCGAGCGGUCCCUUCGGGGAUAGCGGCGGACGGGUGAGUAACACGUAGGCAACCUGCCUGUAAGACCGGCAUAACUAUCGGAAACGAUAGCUAAGACCGGAUAGCUGGAUUUUUCGCAUGAGAGAAUCAUGAAACACGGGGCAAACUGUGGCUUACAGAUUGGCCUGCGGCGCAUUAGCUAGUUGGUAGGGUAACGGCCUACCAAGGCGACGAGGCGUAGCCUACCUGAGAGGGUGACCGGCCACACUGGGACUGAGACACGGCCCAGACUCCUACGGGAGGCAGCAGUAGGGAAUCUUCCGCAAUGGACGCAAGUCUGACGGAGCAACGCCGCGUGAGUGAUGAAGGUCUUCGGAUCGUAAAGCUCUGUUGCCCUAGACGAACAGCAAGGAGAGUAACUGCUCUUUGUGUGACGGUAUAGGAGAAGAAAGCCCCGGCUAACUACGUGCCAGCCGCCGCCGUAA
RNAcentral lists this ribosomal RNA (498 nucleotides) under uncultured bacterium. Its description in RNAcentral is "partial 16S ribosomal RNA". It matches the Rfam family "Bacterial small subunit ribosomal RNA", at positions 28 to 523 of the family's 1533-position model. The record is from RNAcentral.